UAUCUUCUUAGAAUAAACAGUGAAAACAAGUUUCAACACAGAACAACAGCCUAACGUGUCCUCUCAGCGGGCACCCUGUGAAGAAGACAGGACAUAUCGGGCAAACAGGAAGGGCUGAACAAUCCAGGCAGGGUGGCCUCUUGAAAAAACUGUCAGAAAGACAAAUCUUAAAUCAAGGUCUGCUGUCGGCCCCCUGCCUUCUGUUGAGUGGAAGGUUGGGUUCAUCCAAUGCUCUUCUCUGACACUCCCUCCUCUUCUGUUUCAUUCCUGGGCAUCCAAGCCCAGUGAUUUGUUUUGGAAAUGUUAUUAUUUGUUAGCUUAGCUUUUAUCUCAGUUGGAUGCCUUUCCUGUUUCACUGUUUUCCUUUCAGGGAGCAGAGCCAACACUUGCCUCUGGGAGUUUUAUUCAACACAUCCCUGUUGUUAAAUGAAGCUCAAGAAGUUUUGAUUAACAAGCCAACCCAGGUUGAAGUCAACCAUGGCCUAGGGAAAGUGUCUGGCACCCUCUGGAGCCUGGAGGAGAAAUGCAGUAGUGGAGCUUCUGUUUGGAAUAUCGACCUGGCAAAUGAACCCCAGAGAGAAAAAGAGACAGAGGAGAGCCGGAGUUUGGAGUGGCUCAGGGCGUGGGGACACCUCUCCAAAUGGCGGUCUGCGGCCAGCAGGUUGAGAAGGGGCGUGGGGCUGCAGAAAGCUCAGCUGGAGUCGGCAGUCUCGGGAAACAGCCCCUUGCAGCCCUGCCGCCGAGACAGCAAGGAAGACCUGCAGCAGUAGCAGGCUGCGCCUCCAAGUUGAGGCCAGGAGAGCGGACCUCAGGGAGAAGAGCGUUUUCCUUUCUGCCAACGCAGAGUGAACAGGAGAGGGGGAUUGCCGUUCCUGUUUCCAGAAGAGCCCAACAGCGGAAACAGCCACCACGGAGCCUGCGUCAGCAGGGACUGACAGGGGCACUGGUAGCUUUGGGAUCCGCAUGGAAGAAAGGCCUGUACUUGCGGGGAAGAAAAGUCCUUGUCAAGGUCCCUGUGGGUGCCUAAAGGUCAACCAAUGAGGAUCAGACCCGCCUCAACCUUUAACCCCCAUGCCCUGAGUCUAUAAAAGGAGCUCUCCCAAUCUCUGGUGCGACUUCCCUGCUCUGUUGCUCUGUUGGGACCGGUGAACCUCACCCAAUAAAAUCCUGUGAAUUAAUUGAUUCA
RNAcentral lists this long non-coding RNA (1186 nucleotides) under Oryctolagus cuniculus (rabbit). RNAcentral describes it as "lncRNA (ENSOCUG00000035216.1)". The record is from RNAcentral. Lineage: Eukaryota; Metazoa; Chordata; Mammalia; Lagomorpha; Leporidae.